This 84-nucleotide microRNA precursor is filed under the name Bombyx mori (domestic silkworm). RNAcentral describes it as "mir-2807 microRNA precursor family". It matches the Rfam family "mir-2807 microRNA precursor family". Lineage: Eukaryota; Metazoa; Arthropoda; Insecta; Lepidoptera; Bombycidae. The record is from Rfam by way of RNAcentral.
UUAGCUCAUAUUUGUAUGGAAUGGGAUCGUUUGCGUACGUUUGCCGCUAGGGGCGCUGUUCCAGCUGCAUACAAAAUUGGGUUA